AUACUUUUGAGAAUACGACCUUUUAGUCUGCUCCCCUUUACAGUGUAAGCCAGACACCGACUCAAGUAGGUCUCAGACCUGUACUGAAUGUGGCUUGACAGGGGCUACAGUUUCUUUGAAGUCCACUGUGUUGUUGGAAGGUGUGGUGAUACAGCUACAAGCUAGCAAUUAGCUUUUGGGGUAACUAGGUCAGUUAAAUUCCAUUCACUACAUAAUAAGAUCUCGCAUCACAUACUACUGCCUCACAAAGCCAUUACUAGUGACAAGAAACCACAUCAUUACAUGCGGUCAUCUGCAAACCUCAACAAGGAUCUCUGGGAGGAGUAAACUGCUGUUUGAAGAAAGCCCUGGAGAGGAAGGCAUCAGAGCAGCCAGGGCUGGGCGUCAGCAGGCCUACUUUGUGACAGCCUGGCGAGGGAGAGGAAGGAAGAAACAGGCAGUGAAGAACACAACAAAGAAGCUGAAGGAAAAGGCCAAGCCUAUUUUCUCUGAGAAAAAUCCAGGCUAUCCAAUGCAGAGGGAAUGCAGCAGAGUUAUUCUGCAGUAUCUGGAGGUAAGGAGAUGAGCCAAAUAACAGCCUUGUGAAACACAACUAGAAAUUCAGCCAGAGACGGCAUUGAUUUUUUUUUUUUCCUCCUCCCCCUAUGCCCCCGGCAUGGAGGAAGAUAUAUGCGUUUAGAUCAGCUCAUGCCCUGAUUGAGUCUUGAGCAUAGAAGGGUCUGACUCAAGCACUUUCCAUGCAGUCUGUAGGAUUCCUGUGUGCACACUGGGCAGAUUACCGGGAUAAAUUAAGACCCAGCCUGUGCCCUUAACCUAUAAGACAAUUCACCCCCAUUGUAUUAAGUGGUUUAAAAAGGAAAAGAAGAAAAGAAAAAAAGAUACAACUUGCAACAAAUCUUUCUAACCACUGGGUUAACAUGGAGUGUGAUGUUUGUAUGACAGAUCAUGAUGGGAGGUGACAGACUUUCAGACCUUGGCUGAGAAGUAAGAUCAGCUGGAGGUAGAUGAUUUCUGUCAAUAGGUGGACAUCAUGCAGCCAAAAGAGUGAUGACAGAAGAUACAGAAGUAUUUUUAUUUUGCUCUAUUAUACCCAUCUGUGCAUGUGCAGGUAUUUUUUUAGUCUAUGAAGCAGCAGAAAAAAAAAUGAUGUUUAGAAGUGUGAGUUACAAAUGCCUUAGAUUUGCCGAAGGAAACAG
RNAcentral lists this long non-coding RNA (1196 nucleotides) under Anser brachyrhynchus (Pink-footed goose). RNAcentral describes it as "lncRNA (ENSABRG00000002643.1)". The record is from RNAcentral. Lineage: Eukaryota; Metazoa; Chordata; Aves; Anseriformes; Anatidae.